GACGAACGCUGGCGGCGUGCCUAAUACAUGCAAGUCGAACGGUCUUUUCUAUGGAAGCUUGCUUCCACUGAGAAGAUAGUGGCGAACGGGUGAGUAACACGUGGGUAACCUGCCCAUAAGAGGGGGAUAACAUCCGGAAACGGGUGCUAAUACCGCAUAGUUUUCUUGAUCGCAUGAUUGAGAAAGGAAAGACGGCCUUUGUGCUGUCGCUUAUGGAUGGACCCGCGGCGUAUUAGUUAGUUGGUGAGGUAAUGGCUCACCAAGACGAUGAUACGUAGCCGACCUGAGAGGGUGAUCGGCCACAUUGGGACUGAGACACGGCCCAAACUCCUACGGGAGGCAGCAGUAGGGAAUCUUCCGCAAUGGACGAAAGUCUGACGGAGCAACGCCGCGUGAGUGAAGAAGGUUUUCGGAUCGUAAAACUCUGUUGUCAGAGAAGAACAAGUUGGAGAGUAACUGCUCCAGCCUUGACGGUAUCUGACCAGAAAGCCACGGCUAACC
Molecule: ribosomal RNA, 501 nt
Filed under: uncultured bacterium
Lineage: Bacteria
Description: bacterial SSU rRNA
Rfam family: Bacterial small subunit ribosomal RNA
Source: RNAcentral